This 508-nucleotide ribosomal RNA is filed under the name uncultured bacterium. Its description in RNAcentral is "bacterial SSU rRNA". It matches the Rfam family "Bacterial small subunit ribosomal RNA", at positions 15 to 518 of the family's 1533-position model. The record is from RNAcentral.
GAUCAUGGCUCAGAUUGAACGCUGGCGGCAGGCUAAUACAUGCAAGGUCGAACGGUAACGGCAGGAAGCUUGCUCCUGGCUGACGAGUGGCGGACGGGUGAGUAAUACCUGGGGAGCUGCCUGAAUGAGGGGGACAACACCUGGAAACGGGUGCUAAUACCGCGUAAGCCCUGAGGGGGAAAGGCCGGGCAACCGGUCGCAUUCAGAUGCGCCCAGGUGGGAUUAGCUAGUUGGUGGGGUAACGGCCUACCAAGGCGACGAUCUCUAGCUGGUCUGAGAGGAUGAUCAGCCACGCUGGAACUGAGACACGGUCCAGACUCCUACGGGAGGCAGCAGUAGGGAAUAUUGCACAAUGGGGGGAACCCUGAUGCAGCCAUGCCGCGUGUGUGAAGAAAGGCCUUUGGGUUGUAAAGCACUUUCAGUAUGGAGGAAGUGAGCUGAGUUAAUAGCUUAGUUCAUUGACGUUACAUACAGAAGAAGCACCGGCUAACUCCGUGCCAGCCGCCGC